RNAcentral lists this ribosomal RNA (1376 nucleotides) under Andrena bicolor. RNAcentral's name for it is "16S ribosomal RNA". The record is from RNAcentral. Lineage: Eukaryota; Metazoa; Arthropoda; Insecta; Hymenoptera; Andrenidae.
ACACUGAAACAAUUAAAUUUAAUUUUUGAAAUUUUAAUUUAAUUGUUAUAUUUAUUUGUUGAAUUAAUUAUUAUUAUAAUAAAAGUAAUUAAAUUUUAAUUUGUUUUAGUAUUAUUUUGAAUGAAUUUAUUUAUAAAUAUAUGGGUGUAUUGUGAGAGAAUAUUGUUUUAUUUUUUAAAGUAAAUUAUUUUUUUACCUUUUGUAUCAGGGGUUAUUAAUUAAUUAAUAUGAUUUUAUUAAUCUCGAAAUUAAAAGAGCUAACUUUAAAUUAUUUUUUAUGUAGAAUAAAUAAUUAUAAAUUUAUGGUUUGGGGUGAAAUGCUAUUCGAUUUUAUUGAUAUCUAGUUUUUUUUGAAAUGAAUUUAAUUCAUAUAUUUAAUUUUUUAAUAAAUUUAUUUUUUGUUUAUGUUAAAUAUAAAAAAUUUGUGGGAUAAUCUACAAAUUUAAAUUAUUAUAAGAUUUUUGUAUUUUGAAAUUGUAGUUUUAAAAUUUUAUUUCAUUUAAGAAAAUUUAAUAAUUUAUUUAUAAAGGUAAAGAUUUAUAUGACUUUAUAUAAUUGUUUAAAAUAAAUUAUAUAUAAAUAGUUUAAUGUAUAGAUAUAAUGAUAAUAUUAGUAACUGUAUUAUUGUAGAUAUAAAUUUAAUUUUUAAUUAAAUUAAAGGAAUUCGGCAAAUUAAGAAUAUUCACCUGUUUAUCAAAAACAUGUCUUUUUGUUUAUAAUUUAAAGUUUGCUCUGCCCAAUGAAAUUUUUGAAUGGCUGCAGUAUUUUAACUGUACAAAGGUAGCAUAAUAAUUAGUCUUUUUAUUGAAGGCUUGAAUGAACGAGUUGAUGAAAUAUUUACUGUCUCUAAUUUUCAAUGUAAAUUUAAAUUUUAAGUAAGAAUGCUUAAAUUUUAAUAUGGGACGAGAAGACCCUAUAGAAUUUUAUAGUUUAUUAUUAAAUUAAUUUAAUAAUAAACUAAUUUAUUGGGAGGAUAUUUAAAUUUGUAAAACUUUAAAAAUUUACAUUCAAUUAUUUUUGUUUAAAAGGAUAGUUUAUUAAAAAUUAUUAGAUUAAAUUACCUUAGGGAUAACAGCGUAAUAUCUUUGGAGAGAUCAUAUUUAUAAAGAUGAUUGCGACCUCGAUGUUGAAUUAAGAUAUAAUUUAAAUGCAGUAGUUUAAAUUUUAAGUCUGUUCGACUUUUAAUAUCUUACAUGAUUUGAGUUCAGAUCGGUGUGAGCCAGAUCGGUUUCUAUCUAUAUUAAAUUAAUAAAUUUUUGUACGGAAGGACUUGAUUUAUAAAUUAUUUUUUUACAAAUAUUAAGAUUAUAAUAGGGUACUACUUUGGCAGAAUAGUGCGUUAAAUUUAGGGUUUAAAAUAUGUAAUUUUAUUAUAG